UACGAUGGGACCUUUAAAAAAGAUAGC
RNAcentral lists this non-coding RNA (27 nucleotides) under Rattus norvegicus (Norway rat). The record is from RNAcentral. Lineage: Eukaryota; Metazoa; Chordata; Mammalia; Rodentia; Muridae.